This 764-nucleotide ribosomal RNA is filed under the name uncultured Actinomyces sp. RNAcentral's name for it is "bacterial SSU rRNA". It matches the Rfam family "Bacterial small subunit ribosomal RNA", at positions 28 to 776 of the family's 1533-position model. Lineage: Bacteria; Bacillati; Actinomycetota; Actinomycetes; Actinomycetales; Actinomycetaceae. The record is from RNAcentral.
GACGAACGCUGGCGGCGUGCUUAACACAUGCAAGUCGAACGGUGAAGGGGCCUGCUUUUGUGGGUCCUGGAUGAGUGGCGAACGGGUGAGUAACACGUGAGUAACCUGCCCCCUUCUUCUGGAUAACCGCAUGAAAGUGUGGCUAAUACGGGAUAUUCUGGGUCUGUCGCAUGGUGGGCCUGGGAAAGGUUUUUUUCCGGUGGGGGGUGGGCUCGCGGCCUAUCAGCUUGUUGGUGGGGUGAUGGCCUACCAAGGCGGUGACGGGUAGCCGGCCUGAGAGGGUGGACGGCCACACUGGGACUGAGACACGGCCCAGACUCCUACGGGAGGCAGCAGUGGGGAAUAUUGCACAAUGGGCGCAAGCCUGAUGCAGCGACGCCGCGUGAGGGAUGGAGGCCUUCGGGUUGUGAACCUCUUUCGCCAGUGAAGCAGGCCUGCUCCUUUUUUGUGGGUGGGUUGACGGUAGCUGGAUAAGAAGCGCCGGCUAACUACGUGCCAGCAGCCGCGGUAAUACGUAGGGCGCGAGCGUUGUCCGGAAUUAUUGGGCGUAAAGAGCUCGUAGGCGGCUGGUCGCGUCUGUCGUGAAAUCCUCUGGCUUAACUGGGGGCUUGCGGUGGGUACGGGCCGGCUUGAGUGCGGUAGGGGAGGCUGGAACUCCUGGUGUAGCGGUGGAAUGCGCAGAUAUCAGGAAGAACACCGGUGGCGAAGGCGGGUCUCUGAGCCGUUACUGACGCUGAGGAGCGAAAGCGUGGGGAGCGAACAGG